CCGGCGGCGUGGAUUAGGCAUGCAAGUCGAGCGAGAAAGCCACCUUCGGGUGGUGAGUAAAGCGGCGAACUGGUGAGUAACAGGUGGGUAACGUGCCCCAGAGUGGGGGAUAACACGAGGAAACUCGGGCUAAUACCGCAUACGGCCGUAGUGACUCAGGUCCUAACGGUUAAAGACUUCGGGUCGCUUUUGGGAUCGGCCCGCCCCCGAUUAGCUUGUUGGUGAGGUAACGGCUCACCAAGGCUCCGAUCGGUAGCUGGUCUGAGAGGAUGGUCAGCCACACUGGAACUGAGAUACGGUCCAGACUCCUACGGGGGGCAGCAGUCUAGAGGCUUCGGCAAUGGGGGAAACCCUGACCGAGCGACGCCGCGUGCGGGAUUGAAGGCCUUCGGGUCGUAAACCGCUGUCAGGAGGGAAGAAUGCCCCGAUGGUGAAUCGGGGAGAGACGGUACCUCCAGAGGAAGCCCCGGCUAACUCCGUGCCAGCAGCCGCGGUAAUACGGAGGGGGCAAGCGUUGUUCGGAUUUACUGGGCGUAAAGGGUGUGUAGGCGGCCGCGCAAGUCU
RNAcentral lists this ribosomal RNA (564 nucleotides) under uncultured Candidatus Sumerlaeota bacterium. Its description in RNAcentral is "bacterial SSU rRNA". It matches the Rfam family "Bacterial small subunit ribosomal RNA", at positions 36 to 590 of the family's 1533-position model. The record is from RNAcentral. Lineage: Bacteria; Candidatus Sumerlaeota.